RNAcentral lists this ribosomal RNA (301 nucleotides) under uncultured bacterium. Its description in RNAcentral is "partial 16S ribosomal RNA". It matches the Rfam family "Bacterial small subunit ribosomal RNA", at positions 509 to 807 of the family's 1533-position model. The record is from RNAcentral.
CAGUCGCCGCGGUAAUACAGAGGGUGCAAGCGUUAAUCGGAAUUACUGGGCGUAAAGCGCGCGUAGGUGGUUUGUUAAGUUGGAUGUGAAAUCCCCGGGCUCAACCUGGGAACUGCAUUCAAAACCGACUGACUAGAGUAUGGUAGAGGGUGGUGGAAUUUCCUGUGUAGCGGUGAAAUGCGUAGAUAUAGGAAGGAACACCAGUGGCGAAGGCGACCACCUGGACUAAUACUGACACUGAGGUGCGAAAGCGUGGGGAGCAAACAGGAUUAGAUACCCCUGUAGUCCCUGUCUCUUAUAC